CGCCCAUCGGGCGAUGGGGUCCGCCUUUCACAACCGCUGGGCAGCCAGCUGAUGACUCCUCCCGGAGA
Molecule: non-coding RNA, 68 nt
Filed under: Halococcus morrhuae
Lineage: Archaea; Methanobacteriati; Methanobacteriota; Halobacteria; Halobacteriales; Halococcaceae
Also listed under: 1 other name
Description: Fluoride sequence
Rfam family: Fluoride riboswitch aptamer (crcB RNA motif)
Source: RNAcentral